UACGUAGGGUGCGAGCGUUGUCCGGAAUUACUGGGCGUAAAGAGCUCGUAGGUGGUUUGUCGCGUUGUUCGUGAAAUCUCACGGCUUAACUGUGAGCGUGCGGGCGAUACGGGCAGACUGGAGUACUGCAGGGGAGACUGGAAUUCCUGGUGUAGCGGUGGAAUGCGCAGAUAUCAGGAGGAACACCCGUGGCGAAAGCGGCUCUCUGGGACGGUACUGACGCUGAGACGCGAAAGCGUGGGGAGCAAACAGG
This 253-nucleotide ribosomal RNA is filed under the name uncultured bacterium. RNAcentral's name for it is "partial 16S ribosomal RNA". It matches the Rfam family "Bacterial small subunit ribosomal RNA", at positions 524 to 776 of the family's 1533-position model. The record is from RNAcentral.